Molecule: ribosomal RNA, 131 nt
Filed under: uncultured bacterium
Lineage: Bacteria
Description: partial 23S ribosomal RNA
Rfam family: Bacterial large subunit ribosomal RNA
Source: RNAcentral
GGUUAAGUUAAUAAGGGCGCACGGUGGAUGCCUUGGCACUAGAAGCCGAUGAAGGACGUGACAAACGACGAAAUGCUUUGGGGAGUUGUAAGUAAGCGCAGAUCCAGAGAUGUCCGAAUGGGGAAACCCAA